This 234-nucleotide ribosomal RNA is filed under the name uncultured bacterium. RNAcentral's name for it is "partial 16S ribosomal RNA". It matches the Rfam family "Bacterial small subunit ribosomal RNA", at positions 99 to 334 of the family's 1533-position model. The record is from RNAcentral.
CGGACGGCUGAGUAACGCGUAGGUGACCUGCCCCGAAGUGGGGGAAUAACUGCCCGAAAGGGUGGCUAAUACCGCAUGUGGUGGUGUGUUCGAUCACACCAGUAAAGCCGCAAGGCGCUUCGGGAGGGGCCUGCGUCCGAUUAGCUCGUUGGUGGGGUAACGGCUCACCAAGGCGACGAUCGGUAGGUGGUCUGAGAGGACGAUCACCCAGACUGGGACUGAGACACGGCCCAG